Molecule: long non-coding RNA, 3977 nt
Filed under: Gallus gallus (chicken)
Lineage: Eukaryota; Metazoa; Chordata; Aves; Galliformes; Phasianidae
Source: RNAcentral
CCUGAACAGCCAAUUAAUACAAACUUCUAGAACCUCAUUAAAUACUGCUUUUAAUGAAAACUUCAAAGCACACAGUUGAUGACAUUUCUAAUAAUGCAUAUAUUCACAUGAAUGUUGUCUGCAGUAACCCUGAAAGAAAGGGAUAAACUCAAACAUCACCCUAAAAACCAUGCUUUCAUAAAGCAAUGGAAAUGUUAUGUAUCUGCUUCAGCAUCACUGCCUGCAAGGCUGCUGUCUGUGGACGGAGCACCAUCUUCAUUAAUGCCCUCACCAUUAUUCUCCUUCUUAUGGCCUUCAUCAUUUACAUCCUCCUUGGAUGCAUCAUUAACUUUUGAAGGUUGGCUGCUUUCAGGGAUUUUAACGCUACUCGUUGUGGAAUCUGAAUCAGAUGUAGUUUGCUGCUCCUUUGAAUCAGGAUCCUCUAGAAACGAUCCCCAUACCUUCAGCCUUUCUUCCCUUUCUCUUGCAGUCUCCUCCACCUGAUAAUCUGUUACACCAUCCCAUGUUUCAGCACUGAGCUGACGGCCACCAAACCACCUUCCAUUUAGAGUUAGUUUGCACAGAUCAGCUUCUGUCGCUUCCUUAAAUGACACAGAAGCUACGCCAUCAGGGUGUCGAUCAAAUAUGAGAACCUUCUUUACUUGACCAAACUUUUCACAUUCUGUCCGUAGGUCUUCCCUGAUCUCAUUUAGCACUAAGGGAUCCUCCUCAAAGUCCUUUGGGUGAAACAUAUUCCUGAUAAUAACGAUGCGUUCAUGUCGCAUUCGAGCUGCGCCAUCUUUCUUCUCAGGCCUCCAAUCCAGCUGUUUCUGCUGUUGAGACAAUUUCUUCUUGUAGUCUUUACAUUUCUUCUUCUUCUUGCUUGCAUCGUACUCCCCCUUGAGCUGAAACUUUGCAACUUCAACAUGCAAUUUAUAGCCUCUAAUUUCUGCCUCAUCCAGAAGCCUCAAAGCAAGUUGAACUGAUUCUCUCUUUAGAUAGCAGCAGAGGCCGUCUCCUUUGAGAUUUCCUUCCUUAUCUUUGUAAAGUUUGAUUUUGUGCUCUUCCGUCUGAGGAUCUCGCAUAAUGAUACCACCUUUUGACAUGACUUGAACAAAUUCAUCUUUUGUAAUGUCUGGUGGUAAACCAGUCACAUAAACAUUUGUGUUUCUGUCUUCUUCAACAUGAAACCAUCCUGGCUCAAGCUUCCGUUUUUCUGUCUUUUGUUUUGGCUCUGUUUGUUUUGGUCCUUUCUCAUUUGCUGACGGUUGUGUUUCUGAUGUCUUAGAACUUAGUGGUAACUUAUUUUCAGAUGCUGUGCCAGAAGCAGAUGAACUAUCCGUUUCGUCUGCAUUGAAGCCAUAGUUAGCAUGGUACGUUGCCAGGAAAUCUUCUGUUAUCUUGGGGAACCAGGCCUUCUUCUCCCGGUCCCACUCGUAGGCGGCCCCGUCGGCCGGGUCCACGUAGGUGAAGGGAUCGGCAUCGCCCUCGCCGCCGCGAUCGGCCUCGUACUGCUGCUGGAGCUGCAGCUGCCGGUAGAACUCCUCGUUGCCGUCCUCUCCGCUCAUCCUGGCCCAGGGCCUUGGCGCUGAGGGGGAAGGCAGACGGCCACUCCGGGCCUACGCUCCCGCGCUGCCGACUGAGGCACUGCUCGCCCCGCCCCCUCAGAGCGGCGGGGCCGGGAGCGCGCGAGGACCCGCGGGCACGCGCAGGCAACAGCGGCGAGCGCGCACCGCCUCCUCAGCCCCGCGCCGCCGGUGACCGACCCCGGACCUUGCAACGCGCAGGAGCGGAAGUAGCACCCAGCCCGCGCAAGGAGCUCCUUCCUUCAUCUCAGCCAAUGAGACGCGGGAUGGCAGAUCACGUGGAGUUCGCGGAGCCAAUGGGAAGGCAGCGUGAUCUUACCCUGCUCGGAACGGCGGGCGCGCACGGAAGAGGUGGGGCUUGCGUUUGGUUGUGGGGGCGGGACAAGUUCUGUUGUAAUGGCGCCUCAGGGGGUGGUCGGGCGUUUCUGAGAGCUGCUGUGAGCAGCAGCCGUGCCUGAGCAGGCCUGUUGUAGGAGCUACGGCCGUUUUACUCACGGGAUGAAAUAAAGCCUGCCGUGGGUGAAGCACUGUAGCACCCCGUGCCUGUGGUGUCCUCCCUCGGGCAGCUGCGCACAGCGGCUGACUUGAAUCGGUUCUCGUAACGGGGCUUUGCUUGAUGCCAUCUAGAGGUUUUCGCUGCAAUCUAGAUAGAUCUGUGCCAAUAGCAAGUUUACUUGCUAAGGGGUAUAUUUAGAGGUGUUUAUUUGGAGGGUGAAGAAGCCUGCUGCUUAUGCUUUGUUAUGCGGAGCUUAACCUUGAGCUUUAAAGUGCAGGCAUUGGAGCAGUGUAGGUGUGUUCGAUGGCAGUGUCACUGCUCUGUGGAAGCUGCAGGGCAGGCCGCCAGGUGGCUGAGUGGCAAAGCAAUCUUUCCACUCAGAAAGAAAAGUGAUGCCCUGUGCAGAAAUGUUCUGGAAAUAAGUAUUCCACGGACAGAUAUAUCUGUGUUGUCAGACAGACUGGAAUGAUAAUAAAAUCAAAGACAGAAUUCUGAGCCUCUGAAGCUCAGUAGGGAGUGACCAACAUAGCUAAAUGGCUGGUCAACAGACAGCCAGAUAAAAUUGCUAUGGAUAUAAAUAGAGACUUUCAGUAUCCUUUGGCUGUUACACAAAGAACAACCAGCCUAGUUAAUGGCUUCUUUCAUGCUUCAAGAAUUUUCUCUUGGCAGGGCUAUUCUGAUAGUCAUCCAAAAGUUGUUGUAUGAUCUUACAAUCUGACAGCUUAAGAGACAUUUGUGUUAGCUCUGACGUAGCCCGUUUUAGUGGGGUACAUGGGAGGCUUGUUGUAAGCUGUGCUUACUUGAAAAAUAAAAUGCAGGUCAGAUUACUGUCCUUUGUAUGUUGCUAACACCAGUAAGAUCAGAUCAGCCUGUAUUGAUGUUUGAGGGAAAAAAAUGAUCAGUGAGUCAGCUGCUGAGGUUUGAUGCCCACUCAUUCCAUUUCCACUCUUAGGUGGUGACAUGAAGAGAAAUCCAGUUUAAUAGGCUUAAGUAUUUAUUUGCAAGGUUUGAAUUGGAUAUAUAUUUGGAUGUAUGAUAAUUACAGCCUUGAAUGCUCUAAGAGCUCUACAAUUUAAGUCUUAGACCACUAAUCUGAUAUUUGCAGAGUUUUUCACAUUUACAGACUGGGUAAAUGUAGUGAACUCUGUGUCCACGUGUUACAGAUUUCCCAAGUGUUUUGCAUUUUACUUUAACAAACUCUGGAUCCGAUGUCCUUGGACCAAAGAGCUGGAGUGCUAGUAUAUAAGCUCUUUUUUUUUUUCCUGGUUGAGUGCUUAAUGGUAAACUUAAAAAUUCAAAUUCCUUCUUUUGCUGUGCAAGAGAUAUUUUACAGAUUGGCAUAGCUGUGGUGGGAGGACUGGAGAGCACUUUCACUGUAGCUCUGCCUAAAACAAGUCAUCUGAGCACUAUUCUGGGGAGUGGGACAUCCGAACUUAAUCCCCACAGAUUGCUAGAAGUAAGAGCAUGGUUGCUUGUAGCAGGGUUAUCCAGCUACCAAACAUCAGUUCCUGCCUGGUAAGUGUAGUCUGUAUAUUUCUGCUGCAGAGGUGAGGACGAACUACCUCAGAUUCCUUUGCACUUCCCACAGAGAACACCAUGCAUGAAGGCAGCUACUGCAGAACAGCUGACAUCCAGUAGCUUCUUACCUUGUCACCGCCAUCUGUUCUCUUCAUCUUAAGUAACAACUGCACAGUGAGCCAGCUCAGGGGGCUAAUUCAGCUGAAAACCAGUAAUUUUUCUUUUUUUAUAUAUGUAAAUCAAGACAGCUUUUGCCUCAAUCACACUCUUGGAAUAAUUGAAUUCAUGGCUGCACAAGCACAGCUGCUGCAGCAGGGGAAAGAUGAGCUGCAGGUUCUGGGGAUGGAAUGUCAGGAAAUGACAUUUUAAAUGACAAAAUAUCUCAAAGCAAACAGUAA